CAAAAAAAAAAAAAAAUUCAACCAAGCAUAUUAUCACUACUUCCCCAUUUCCCUUGCUGGACUACAAGCUCCCGAUGGCAGGAACUGGGAGAAGCUACUGUGUUUUCCAGAGCUUGGAACAUAAGCACUCCAUGAAUGCAUACUGCACAAAUCAGCUAAUCACCGGAAGCCAGAGUAUUUUGGCGCCCUGACAGACUUGGAUUAGGUGAUGUUGCUUCUCAGAUGCUGAGAAAGUGUCCUGAUGCCGCAGUUGAGUGCUGACCCAGAUUUGGAAGGAGAUGAAAGGACUUUAAAAUAUUCUAACAACCCACAUUCCAAGAUUCACAUCUAUCCCAAGGUUCCCUGGCUCCUAAAUGGCUCAUGCAAAUCUUGAAGGAGUCUCUACUUUUUGAGGAGGAAAACAGCUCUUUAAUCUGGACUCCACGAUGUUGUUGAAAACACGCUUGCAGUUACCUAUUGCUGAGUAACAAACUGUCCUAGAACUCAGAGACUGAGAACAAUGAUGAUGAUUUCUCAUGACUCUAUGGUUGGCUGAGCUCAGCUGGGCAGUUCUUCUGUUCCGUGUGGUGUAGGCUGAAGUCCCUCAUUGGAAGGUGAGAGAGCUGGGGCAUUUAUCCACCAACUUUUGUCAGUUACUAGUUGAGAGCUGCUCUCAGGGGCAUUCAUUCUGUGGCCUACAGGUGGCAAAGCAGGUCUCAACAGCAAACAAAAGACCCCAGUUUUGGCACUUGGGAAGCAGUCUGGUUUGCAGACUGUGAAGAGGUAAGGGCAAGGGGGCAUGGCUAGAAUUCCUGUGCAAUUAGUAAAAACCAGAUGGAAAAUGCAGCAUGGUUAUUGUGGCAGAGACU
RNAcentral lists this long non-coding RNA (848 nucleotides) under Homo sapiens (human). Its description in RNAcentral is "HSALNT0396204". The record is from RNAcentral. Lineage: Eukaryota; Metazoa; Chordata; Mammalia; Primates; Hominidae.